GGGCCGUUAGCUCAGUUGGUAGAGCGCUUCCAUGGCAUGGAAGAGGUCAAGAGUUCAAGUCUCUUACGGUCCACCA
Molecule: transfer RNA, 76 nt
Filed under: Candidatus Uhrbacteria bacterium
Lineage: Bacteria; Candidatus Uhriibacteriota
Description: tRNA-Ala
Rfam family: tRNA
About the family: Transfer RNA (tRNA) molecules are approximately 80 nucleotides in length.
Source: RNAcentral